UAACAAAAAGUGGACACACAAAAAAAAACUCUGUAAUUAUCAAUCCUCCUCCUCCUCCGUCACCACCACAACUUCCGCCGCCGUGGCCGACAAAUUCCCCGGCGGCUGAUCCGCAAAUGUAGUCUCCAUACCACCCUCUACUCUUCUAUCGCGUCAAUCAAAGUGGAUGACGAAGUUAUUGUUUCCGGAUCUGAUGGAUAUCCGUAUUGAUGGGCCGUGACUAUUCAAAAUCAAGGGCCUCAUGUGUAAAAUCAAUGUAACACUUAGUUUCUCGACGAUGUUAGUGAAAAGUGGAAAGACCUGGCAACCUACACUACACUACACAGGAGAGAUUCUGAAGGUGUGUCGUUUUGUGGACACAGUAGGGUGUUGUGUUCUUUUGUCAUUGAAAUUAUGAAGCUUUUUUUUUUUUUUUUUUUGAUAGAAAUGUUAAAUAUGGUUCUUUACCUUCACCUGCUUUCAUGCCUGCUAAUAACAUUUCAUUUUGUUCAAUCACAUUAACAGAAAUUUUUAUAUACUUCCUAUUCUUAUC
Molecule: long non-coding RNA, 532 nt
Organism: Camelina sativa (false flax)
Lineage: Eukaryota; Viridiplantae; Streptophyta; Magnoliopsida; Brassicales; Brassicaceae
Source: RefSeq, a predicted model, not a curated record